RNAcentral lists this ribosomal RNA (235 nucleotides) under uncultured bacterium. Its description in RNAcentral is "partial 16S ribosomal RNA". It matches the Rfam family "Bacterial small subunit ribosomal RNA", at positions 82 to 334 of the family's 1533-position model. The record is from RNAcentral.
CCCAGCAAUGGGAGCGGCGCACGGGUGAGUAACACGUGGGAAUAUGCCCUUUGGUUCGGAAUAACGUAGGGAAACUUGCGCUAAUACCGGAUAAGCCCUUCGGGGGAAAGAUUUAUCGCCAUUGGAGUAGCCCGCGUCUGAUUAGCUAGUUGGUGAGGUAAAAGCCCACCAAGGCGACGAUCAGUAGCUGGUUUGAGAGAACGACCAGCCACACUGGGACUGAGACACGGCCCAG